This 497-nucleotide ribosomal RNA is filed under the name uncultured bacterium. Its description in RNAcentral is "partial 16S ribosomal RNA". It matches the Rfam family "Bacterial small subunit ribosomal RNA", at positions 28 to 507 of the family's 1533-position model. The record is from RNAcentral.
GAUGAACGCUGGCGGCGUGCCUAAUACAUGCAAGUCGAGCGAACAGACGAGGAGCUUGCUCCUCUGACGUUAGCGGCGGACGGGUGAGUAACACGUGGAUAACCUACCUAUAAGACUGGGAUAACUUCGGGAAACCGGAGCUAAUACCGGAUAAUAUAUUGCACCGCAUGGUUCAAUAGUGAAAUACGGUUUUGCUGUCACUUAUAGAUGGAUCCGCGCCGCAUUAGCUAGUUGGUAAGGUAACGGCUUACCAAAGCAACGAUGCGUAGCCGACCUGAGAGGGUGAUCGGCCACACUUGAACUGAGCCAGGGUCCAGACUCCUACGGGAGGCAGCAGUAGGGAAUCUUCCGCAAUGGGCGGAAGCCUGACGGAGCAACGCCGCGUGAGUGAUGAAGGUCUGCGGAUCGUAAAACUCUGUUAUUAGGGAAGAACAAAUGUGUAAGUAACUAUGCACGUCUUGACGGUACCUAAUCAGAAAGCCACGGCUAACUACGUG